This 188-nucleotide non-coding RNA is filed under the name Lysobacterales bacterium. RNAcentral's name for it is "Xanthomonadales bacterium 6S RNA". It matches the Rfam family "6S / SsrS RNA". Rfam says of the family: E. coli 6S RNA was the first non coding RNA to be sequenced, but its function was unknown until recently. It consists of 184 nucleotides that fold into an extended hairpin structure with a large single-stranded internal bulge. The record is from RNAcentral. Lineage: Bacteria; Pseudomonadati; Pseudomonadota; Gammaproteobacteria; Lysobacterales.
CGCCGCCUGCAGUGUUCGACACGGUCCGGGUUACCUCUCGACCUUAAGUCCAACACCCAGGGGAUCUGGUCUGUCGGCACCCGUGUGCAUGUCCGCCAUGAGCGGAAAGCCUUCAGGUGCUGCGGCCUUUCCCCGCCUAUUGCUCCACGUCGAGAGCAAUGGCUCGUGACGGCACAGGCGGGCGGCGC